RNAcentral lists this ribosomal RNA (402 nucleotides) under Triticum aestivum (bread wheat). RNAcentral describes it as "partial small subunit ribosomal RNA". The record is from RNAcentral. Lineage: Eukaryota; Viridiplantae; Streptophyta; Magnoliopsida; Poales; Poaceae.
AUGCCAAGUGGUGACCCCUUCACCGUGAGGAUAGUUGCACUUGGGUCCCCACAUCAGACGGCAAUCCCUAUUUGGCGCUGCAGGCGCUGGUUACAGCUGUUUCCGCAAACCGGCGCCUGCAGCGGAGUUAGAUGGGCUCGGCCCAACUACCUGUUUGAUACUCAAAAAGGGAGGGCAAGGGAAGGAAUGUGUUCGCCCCCAAGAAGCUCCCCUGUUGCAUGGAUUAGACUACCGCAAGGAUUUAUGGAAAUAAAUGUAGAUGGGGCGCUUGGAAGGCAAGGUGAGAGUGGUGCAGCAGUUGCAAUUUGUCGGGAUCAUCUUGGAAAUUAUAUAGGCUCAUCGGCCGUCACUUUUAUGGGCAGUACCGACGUCCCAACCUUGAAAGGCCUGGCAUGUCACUAA